GGAGAAAAGUAGGAGAGGAGGAGGGAAGGAGGAUGAUGAUGAGGAAGGGAGGAUGAUGGUGAGGCAGGAGAGGAGGACGAAGAGGACCACAAGCGGGGCCGGGCUACAGAUGCUGCGGCUGCCCGGGCAGCGCUAGCACCGAGGACCUGACAGUCGGGUGAGGGCCUGGGACAGACGCAGCAGACUGGGAUAUGCAAAGAGAGGAGUAGCCUAAUUGUCAAGUCUAGAUCUAACAAAAGCAGUGUCCCAAGAUCAUGGCAUAUUUCCCUGGAACUGGAAGGACUGAUCAAGAAACACAGCUAGACUUGUCCUUGUGUGGACGGGAGCCGGAAAGCCUUGAGAACUUAUUCCUCGACCCGGACAUGGCACAGGAGAAAAUGAAACUAGGUUUCAAGUCGCUGCCGAGUUCCACUACCGCAGACGGCAACAUUCUGAGAAGAGUCAACAGUGCCCCUUUGAUCAAUGGACUUGGUUUUAAUUCACAGGUGUUGCAAGCUGACAUGUUAAGAAUUAGGACAAACAGAACAACAUUUAGGAAUCGACGCUCUCUGUUGUUGCCACCUCCUCCCUUUCAUGGUUCCAUCAGCCGCCUUCAUCAAAUCAAACAGGAACCUCCAAACUUGAACAACAUGGAUUUGAAUGGCGUGUGAUGUGAAACCCUCCUAUACGUAUGGGUGACUUUUUGUAUCCUCGGGUUCCAGAAGGCCCACUGUGGACUUGAGGAUGUGUGGAUUUUGGUAUUGCAGUGGGGGGGUGCUGGAACCAAUUCCCCACAUAUACCAAGGGAUGACUUCUCCCUCUGAUGCCGAGCGGAAGCUGGACUGUACUGCUGCCAUCUCGGCUCACUGCAACCUCCCUGCCUGAUUCUCCUGCCUCAGCCUGCCGAGUGCCUGCGAUUGCAGGCGCGCGCAGCCACACCUGACUGGUUUUCGUAUUUUUUUGGUGGAGACGGGGUUUCGCUGUGUUGGCCGGGCUGGUCUCCAGCUCCUAACCGCAAGUGAUCUGCCAGCCUCGGCCUCCCGAGGUGCCGGGAUUGCAGACGGAGUCUGGUUCACUCAGUGCUCAAUGGUGCCCAGGCUGGAGUGCAGUGGCGUGAUCUCGGCUCGCUACAACCUCCACCUCCCAGCCGCCUGCCUUGGCCUCCCAAAGUGCCGAGAUUGCAGCCUCUGCCCGGCCGCCACCCCGUCUGGGAAGUGAGGAGCAUCUCUGCCUGGCCGCCCAUCGUCUGGGAGGUGAGGAGCCCCUCUGCCUGGCUGCCCAGUCUGGAAAGUGAGGAGCGUCUCUGCCCGGCCGCCAUCCCAUCUAGGAAGUGAGGAGCGCCUCUUCCCGGCCGCCAUCCCAUCUAGGAAGUGAGGAGCGUCUCUGCCCCGCUGCCCCGUCUGGGAUGUGAGGAGCGCCUCUGCCCGGCCGCGACCCCGUCUGGGAGGUGAGGAGCAUCUCUGCCCGGCCGCCCCGUCUGAGAAGUGAGGAGACCCUCCGCCUGGCAACCGCCCCGUCUGAGAAGUGAGGAGCCCCUCCGCCCAGCAGCCGCCCCGUCUGAGAAGUGAGGAGCCCCUCCGCCCGGCAGCCACACCGUCUGGGAAGUGAGGAGCGUCUCUGCCCGGCAGCCACCCCGUCCGGGAGGGAGGUGGGGGUCAGCCCCCGCCAGGCCAGCCGCCCCAUCCGGGAGGUGAGGGGUGCCUCUGCCCAGCCGCCCCUACUGGGAAGUGAGGAGCCCCUCUGCCCGGCCAUCCGCCCCAUCCAGGAGGGAGGUGGGGGGGUCAGUCCCCCGCCCGGCCAGCCGCCCCGUCCGGGAGGGAGGUGGGGGGGUCAGCCCCCCGCCCGGCCAGCCGCCUCGUCCGGGAGGUGAGGGGCGCCUCUGCCCGGCCGCCCCUACUGGGAAGUGAGGAGCCCCUCUGCCCGGCCAGCCGCCCCGUCUGGGAGGUGUACCCAACAGCUCAUUGAGAACGGGCCAUGAUGACAAUGGCGGUUUUGUGGAAUAGAAAGGGGGGAAAGGUGGGGAAAAGAUUGAGAAAUCGGAUGGUUGCCGUGUCUGUGUAGAAAGAAGUAGACAUGGGAGACUUUUCAUUUUGUUCUGUACUAAGAAUUCUUCUGCCUUGGGAUCCUGUAGAUCUGUGACCUUACCCCCAACCCUGUGCUCUCUGAAACAUGUGCUGUGUCCACUCAGGGUUAAAUGGAUUAAGGGCGGUGCAAGAUGUGCUUUGUUAAACAGAUGCUUGAAGGCAGCGUGCUCGUUAAGAGUCAUCACCACUCCCUAUUCUCAAGUACCCAGGGACACAAACACUGCGGAAGGCCGCAGGGUCCUCUGCCUAGGAAAACCAGAGACCUUUGUUCACUUGUUUAUCUGCUGACCUUCCCUCCACUAUUGUCCUGAGACCCUGCCAAAUCCCCCUCUGCGAGAAACACGCAAGAAUGAUCAAUAAAAAAAAAAACAAAAAACAAAAACAAAACAAAAAAAACAUCAUUUUCACUUUCUUCCCCCCAUACAAAAUGUCACAAUGGCUUCCCAUUACCUAUUGAAUAAUAAUAAAAAUAGCUAAUAUGUGUUAAGCACUGAA
RNA transcript from Homo sapiens (human), 2558 nucleotides. It is a transcript of the gene named PABIR family member 3, with no coding region annotated. The record is from RefSeq and is marked validated. NCBI's taxonomy places the organism in Eukaryota, Metazoa, Chordata, Mammalia, Primates, Hominidae. The transcript is spliced from 8 exons.